RNAcentral lists this unclassified non-coding RNA (232 nucleotides) under plant metagenome. Its description in RNAcentral is "partial contains small subunit ribosomal RNA, internal transcribed spacer 1, and 5.8S ribosomal RNA". The record is from RNAcentral.
UUUCCGUAGGUGAACCUGCGGAAGGAUCAUUAUUGGAUUUUGAAACUUCAGGCUGCUGCUGGCUCUCCUCGGAGGGCAUGUGCACGCUUGUUGUCCAUUAUUUCUCCCACUGUGCACAAAUUUAGACCUUUCAGUAGGCCUAUGUUGUUUUUCACAAUCUCUGAAUGUAAUAGAAUGGUUUUGAAUCUUGGGAAAUACAAUACAACUUUCAGCAACGGAUCUCUUGGCUCUC